This 240-nucleotide long non-coding RNA is filed under the name Phoenix dactylifera (date palm). RNAcentral describes it as "long non-coding RNA (PDAC_LNC007854)". Lineage: Eukaryota; Viridiplantae; Streptophyta; Magnoliopsida; Arecales; Arecaceae. The record is from RNAcentral.
CAUCAAUCAGCCAUUUGAUCAACCUACAAACUUCUAUGCGUGUGACCUCAUAGGUUCGAACCUAAGCCGGUAGUAUAAAAACGUCUUUCUAUACUAAUCGAUGUGACCAUUUAGCAAUGGUAUCCGAUGUCCGGAUAGGCCGAAUAUAUACGAAGCAAAUAUUCUGGAAUCCUGGACUAUGGUUACUGUAUAAUUCAAUCCCUUUGACUCCUAAUGCCAGGAUGACUUAGAGCUCACUGU